CUACGGGGCGCUCCAGUAAGGAAUAUUGCACAAUGGACGAAAGUCUGAUGCAGCAACGCCGCGUGAGUGAUGAAGGCCUUCGGGUUGUAAAACUCUUUUAUGUGGGAAGAGGAAGGACGGUACCACAUGAAUAAGUCUCGGCUAACUACGUGCCAGCAGCCGCGGUAACACGUAGGAGACAAGCGUUAUCCGGAUUUAUUGGGCGUAAAGAGCAUGUAGGCGGAUUCUCAAGUCGGACGUGAAAUCUUUUGGCUUAACUGAGAGAGGUCGUUCGAAACUAGGAGUCUUGAGGGUAGGAGAGGGGAGUAGAAUUCCGGGUGUAGUGGUGGAAUACGUAGAUAUCCGGAGGAAUACCAGUGGUGAAGGCGGCUCCCUGGCCUAUGCCUGACGCUGAGAUGCGAAAGCGUGGGUAGCGAACGGGAUUAGAUACCCGCGUAGUC
This 440-nucleotide ribosomal RNA is filed under the name uncultured bacterium. Its description in RNAcentral is "partial 16S ribosomal RNA". It matches the Rfam family "Bacterial small subunit ribosomal RNA", at positions 339 to 795 of the family's 1533-position model. The record is from RNAcentral.